RNAcentral lists this ribosomal RNA (488 nucleotides) under uncultured bacterium. RNAcentral describes it as "bacterial SSU rRNA". It matches the Rfam family "Bacterial small subunit ribosomal RNA", at positions 29 to 510 of the family's 1533-position model. The record is from RNAcentral.
AACGAACGCUGGCGGCGUGCCUAACACAUGCAAGUCGAACGAGAAUGCAGGCUUCGGUCUGCUAGUAAAGUGGCGCACGGGUGAGUAACACGUGGAUAACGUACAUUGUAGUGGGGGAUAACCAGGUGAAAGCUUGGCUAAUACCGCAUGAGUCUGUCGGGACGCAGGUUUUGACAGGGAAAGUGAGCAAUCACGCUACGAGAUCGGUCCGCGGCCCAUUAGCUAGUUGGCGGGUAAUGGCCCACCAAGGCGACGAUGGGUAGCUGGUCUGAGAGGAUGAUCAGCCACACUGGAACUGAGACACGGUCCAGACUCCUACGGGAGGCAGCAGUGGGAAUUUUGCGCGAUGGGCGAAAGCCUGACGCAGCAACGCCGCGUGUGUGACGAAGGCCCUAGGGUUGUAAAGCACUGUGGGAGGGGAAGAAAAAACCGGAGUGUAUCCGGUCUUGACGGUACCCUGUUAGAAAGCACCGGCUAACUCCGUGCCA